GGUAGCGUGGCCGAGUUGGUCUAAGGCGUUGGAUUUAAGAGUUGGGUAUCUUCCCAGUCUUGCUUCCCAAUGAAGGUGACUUCGCGCGAGUUCGAGUCUCGCCGCUACCA
Lentinula edodes (shiitake mushroom) is the source of this 110-nucleotide non-coding RNA. Lineage: Eukaryota; Fungi; Basidiomycota; Agaricomycetes; Agaricales; Omphalotaceae. The record is from Rfam.